RNAcentral lists this unclassified non-coding RNA (347 nucleotides) under soil metagenome. RNAcentral describes it as "partial contains 5.8S ribosomal RNA, internal transcribed spacer 2, and large subunit ribosomal RNA". The stretch from base 1 to 120 matches the Rfam family "5.8S ribosomal RNA", at positions 35 to 154 of the family's 154-position model. The record is from RNAcentral.
GAUGAAGAACGUAGUGAAAUGCGAUAAUUAAUGUGAAUUGCAGAAUUCAGUGAAUCAUCGAGUCUUUGAACGCACAUUGCGCCCCCUGGUAUUCUGGGGGGCAUGCCUGUCCGAGCGUCAUUGCUGCCCUCAAGCACGGCUUGUGUGUUGGGCUUCCGUCCCUGGCAACGGGGACGGGCCCAAAAGGCAGUGGCGGCACCAUGUCUGGUCCUCGAGCGUAUGGGGCUUUGUCACCCGCUCCCGUAGGUCCAGCUGGCAGCUAGCCUCGCAACCAAUCUUUUUAACCAGGUUGACCUCGGAUCAGGUAGGGAUACCCGCUGAACUUAAGCAUAUCAAUAAGCGGAGGA